Molecule: transfer RNA, 73 nt
Organism: Torulaspora delbrueckii CBS 1146
Lineage: Eukaryota; Fungi; Ascomycota; Saccharomycetes; Saccharomycetales; Saccharomycetaceae
Rfam family: tRNA
About the family: Transfer RNA (tRNA) molecules are approximately 80 nucleotides in length. Their secondary structure includes four short double-helical elements and three loops (D, anti-codon, and T loops).
Source: Rfam
UUCCUCGUGGCCCAAUGGUCACGGCGUCUGGCUACGAACCAGAAGAUUCCAGGUUCGAGUCCUGGCGGGGAAG